Molecule: long non-coding RNA, 428 nt
Filed under: Chloebia gouldiae (Gouldian finch)
Lineage: Eukaryota; Metazoa; Chordata; Aves; Passeriformes; Passeridae
Description: Erythrura gouldiae (Gouldian finch) lncRNA (ENSEGOG00005005930.1)
Source: RNAcentral
AAAAGAAUGGGAAAACAAAUCUAAGUGCUGGAACCCUGUGGCUCUGCCUUCCCAUGGCUGUUUGGGGUGACCCCUGUGCUGUGUACUGACCUCCUGCAAGCAGCUGCUGGAAGAAUCACUCCCAUGCCCUGAGCUCACAGGCUGGAGUAAUUUGCUGAUGCUGUACAAGGAAUUGUGUCUCCUGGAAUUGUGUCUCCUGGAGACCUGGCUGGUGUGAUCAGAACUCACAUAUGGUACCAGAACAAAGGGCCCUUCAGGAUCUUUGUGAUAUCUGCUGAAGUCCUUGAGCCUUGACCCCAACAUCCGAGGGGGGAAUCAGACCUGGAGAAAAGUUUCUGCAAUUCAGAGAAACCAGGUGGCAUCUUCUGGAAGAAGAAUGUUGAAACUCAAACCUAGACUUCCAGCCUGAAUGUCCAUCAGGCCUUGAU